Hermetia illucens (black soldier fly) is the source of this 619-nucleotide long non-coding RNA. RefSeq lists it as uncharacterized. NCBI's taxonomy places the organism in Eukaryota, Metazoa, Arthropoda, Insecta, Diptera, Stratiomyidae. The transcript is spliced from 3 exons. The record is from RefSeq and is a predicted model, not a curated record.
CUAAAUAUUCGCCCUACUAAUUUUGGUGCACUGGUUAAUUGCCAUUACUAUAAUUUAAAUUGACGUCAUACAUACUUAAAUCAAAGUGGUGUUGGAUGUUGAGGGCGCCAUCAAAUUUGGCAGAAAAAAACACUUCCCAGUAGAGCGCCUGAAGUGAGAAACUUGGUUUUGUUUGCUUUCAGUCCGACUUUGUAUGCUUCCUUUUCCAAUUCGAGAACUAUUUGCCCAAGGCCGCAUGACUCGAUUUCCACUGAACCCCUCCACAACAAGGCGCCAAGGCAGCAUGGAGAAUAUCAGCAAUAACGAGAAGAAUAAUUAUUGUUGGCAAGAUGCAACUCUGGCGGACUCCGCUUUCGACUUAAAAUUUCUCCGAAAUGUUACUUCGAUCCAAUCACCGUUAGUGUAGAGUGUGGUAUUUGAUGAGCUUACAAAAUUAUAGGUCCAGCGUUACGCUGAUGAUAUUGCAUUAAGCUGUAGGGAAUUUUCCGAAGGGUGGUGUGGUCAGUGCAAUAGGAUACAGAAUGGAAACCAGUCUGCUUUCGGGGCGUUAUUUGAUGUAUUCCAGGAGAACUCUAGCUACUAUCUUUGCGAUGGUAAGAAGUACGCAAGUAUCCCUACA